This 253-nucleotide ribosomal RNA is filed under the name uncultured bacterium. RNAcentral describes it as "partial 16S ribosomal RNA". It matches the Rfam family "Bacterial small subunit ribosomal RNA", at positions 524 to 776 of the family's 1533-position model. The record is from RNAcentral.
UACGUAGGGUCCGAGCGUUGUCCGAGAUUAUUGGGCGUAAAGGGCUCGUAGGCGGUUUGUCGCGUCGGGAGUGAAAACACGGGGCUUAACCCCGUGCCUGCUUCCGAUACGGGCAGACUAGAGGUAUGCAGGGGAGAACGGAAUUCCUGGUGUAGCGGUGAAAUGCGCAGAUAUCAGGAGGAACACCGGUGGCGAAGGCGGCAUCCUGGACCAAUACUGACACUGAGGAGCGAAAGCCAGGGGAGCAAACGGG